Molecule: long non-coding RNA, 568 nt
Organism: Cynoglossus semilaevis (tongue sole)
Lineage: Eukaryota; Metazoa; Chordata; Actinopteri; Pleuronectiformes; Cynoglossidae
Exons: 3
Source: RefSeq, a predicted model, not a curated record
UUCCAAGAGACAAAUAUAAACCAUAAGGAUGUGGACAAUAUGAUAAAAAGAAAAGGUCCAAAUUCUUCGUGGCCUGAUGGGAGUUCCGCCACCUCGACACGUUGCUUCUUUAGCCUCCAAAAAUAGCCAGGGAUCUGACUGUGGAACGAUCAAUCCAGAGUCCUUGGCGCCUGAAGACUCGAUGGCAGAGAUAUCAAAGCUGAGACUGAGGUCUGCUUCUCAGAAGAAACACAAAUUCUCUGAAGUCCUGAUUCUGACGGUGAUGAUGACGAUGAUGACCUGAUGAAGGGUGAAGGAUGAUGGAUCAGUGCUCCAUGACCGACCGCACCAGUAGACCACAGACAUCGCUGCCAGGAAAUGCAGGAAGUGAAUUCAUGAAACAGAAAUAUCUUCCUGAAUGAACUGGUGCCAAAGCUUCGAUAAAAUUAGAACUGCUGUCGGCCAGAUUUCUGGAAGAUUUGGGCGGAGCAGAUCUGUGUCCGAGCUGCACGGUGGGGCAGCAGUUAACGCUCAUCUGCUGCCAUGCUGAAUGAAGGUUAUUGGUUCAAAUCCAAGCUCAGAUGAUGGA